CGGGAGAGUAGAAGCGGUCGGGAUCUCUGUCCUGGGCAUUGCUCCGCAC
RNAcentral lists this non-coding RNA (49 nucleotides) under Komagataeibacter medellinensis NBRC 3288. The record is from RNAcentral. Lineage: Bacteria; Pseudomonadati; Pseudomonadota; Alphaproteobacteria; Acetobacterales; Acetobacteraceae.